This 464-nucleotide ribosomal RNA is filed under the name uncultured Klebsiella sp. Its description in RNAcentral is "bacterial SSU rRNA". It matches the Rfam family "Bacterial small subunit ribosomal RNA", at positions 338 to 795 of the family's 1533-position model. The record is from RNAcentral. Lineage: Bacteria; Pseudomonadati; Pseudomonadota; Gammaproteobacteria; Enterobacterales; Enterobacteriaceae.
CCUACGGGUGGCUGCAGUGGGGAAUAUUGCACAAUGGGCGCAAGCCUGAUGCAGCCAUGCCGCGUGUGUGAAGAAGGCCUUCGGGUUGUAAAGCACUUUCAGCGGGGAGGAAGGCGGUGAGGUUAAUAACCUCAUCGAUUGACGUUACCCGCAGAAGAAGCACCGGCUAACUCCGUGCCAGCAGCCGCGGUAAUACGGAGGGUGCAAGCGUUAAUCGGAAUUACUGGGCGUAAAGCGCACGCAGGCGGUCUGUCAAGUCGGAUGUGAAAUCCCCGGCUCAACCUGGGAACUGCAUUCGAAACUGGCAGGCUAGAGUCUUGUAGAGGGGGGUAGAAUUCCAGGUGUAGCGGUGAAAUGCGUAGAGAUCUGGAGGAAUACCGGUGGCGAAGGCGGCCCCCUGGACAAAGACUGACGCUCAGGUGCGAAAGCGUGGGGAGCAAACAGGAUUAGAUACCCCGGUAGUC